GCUCGUGCUGGCCUGGCUGGGCGCCGGCCUCGCGGGCUGGCCGGCGGCGCUGCGGGCCGCCGCCGCCGUGAUCAUGCUCGGUGCGGCCC
RNAcentral lists this transfer RNA (89 nucleotides) under Actinoplanes nipponensis. RNAcentral describes it as "tRNA-Ala". The record is from RNAcentral. Lineage: Bacteria; Bacillati; Actinomycetota; Actinomycetes; Micromonosporales; Micromonosporaceae.